Molecule: ribosomal RNA, 712 nt
Filed under: uncultured Bacteroidales bacterium
Lineage: Bacteria; Pseudomonadati; Bacteroidota; Bacteroidia; Bacteroidales
Description: bacterial SSU rRNA
Rfam family: Bacterial small subunit ribosomal RNA
Source: RNAcentral
AGCUACAGGCUUAACACAUGCAAGUCGAGGGGCAGCAUGGUCUUAGCUUGCUAAGGCCGAUGGCGACCGGCGCACGGGUGAGUAACACGUAUCCAACCUGCCGUCUACUCUUGGACAGCCUUCUGAAAGGAAGAUUAAUACAAGAUGGCAUCAUGAGUCCACAUGUUCACAUGAUUAAAGGUAUUCCGGUAGACGAUGGGGAUGCGUUCCAUUAGAUAGUAGGCGGGGUAACGGCCCACCUAGUCUUCGAUGGAUAGGGGUUCUGAGAGGAAGGUCCCCCACAUUGGAACUGAGACACGGUCCAAACUCCUACGGGAGGCAGCAGUGAGGAAUAUUGGUCAAUGGGCGAGAGCCUGAACCAGCCAAGUAGCGUGAAGGAUGACUGCCCUAUGGGUUGUAAACUUCUUUUAUAAAGGAAUAAAGUCGGGUAUGUAUACCCGUUUGCAUGUACUUUAUGAAUAAGGAUCGGCUAACUCCGUGCCAGCAGCCGCGGUAAUACGGAGGAUCCGAGCGUUAUCCGGAUUUAUUGGGUUUAAAGGGAGCGUAGAUGGAUGUUUAAGUCAGUUGUGAAAGUUUGCGGCUCAACCGUAAAAUUGCAGUUGAUACUGGAUAUCUUGAGUGCAGUUGAGGCAGGCGGAAUUCGUGGUGUAGCGGUGAAAUGCUUAGAUAUCACGAAGAACUCCGAUUGCGAAGGCAGCCUGCUAAGCUGCAA